RNAcentral lists this ribosomal RNA (492 nucleotides) under uncultured bacterium. RNAcentral's name for it is "partial 16S ribosomal RNA". It matches the Rfam family "Bacterial small subunit ribosomal RNA", at positions 29 to 507 of the family's 1533-position model. The record is from RNAcentral.
AGUGAACGCUGGCGGUAGGCCUAACACAUGCAAGUCGAACGGCAGCACAGUAAGAGCUUGCUCUUACGGGUGGCGAGUGGCGGACGGGUGAGGAAUACAUCGGAAUCUACUUUUUCGUGGGGGAUAACGUAGGGAAACUUACGCUAAUACCGCAUACGACCUACGGGUGAAAGCAGGGGAUCUUCGGACCUUGCGCGAUUGAAUGAGCCGAUGUCGGAUUAGCUAGUUGGCGGGGUAAAGGCCCACCAAGGCGACGAUCCGUAGCUGGUCUGAGAGGAUGAUCAGCCACACUGGAACUGAGACACGGUCCAGACUCCUACGGGAGGCAGCAGUGUGGAAUAUUGGACAAAGGGCGCAAGCCUGAUCCAGCCAUACCGCGUGGGUGAAGAAGGCCUUCGGGUUGUAAAGCCCUUUUGUUGGGAAAGAAAAGCAGCAGGUUAAUACCCCGCUGUUCUGACGGUACCCAAAGAAUAAGCACCGGCUAACUUCGUG